AGCGAACGCUGGCGGCAGGCCUAACACAUGCAAGUCGAACGAACCUUUCGGGGUUAGUGGCGGACGGGUGAGUAACACGUGGGAACGUGCCUUUAGGUUCGGAAUAACUCAGGGAAACUUGUGCUAAUACCGAAUGUGCCCUUCGGGGGAAAGAUUAAUCGCCUUUAGAGCGGCCCGCGUAUGAUUAGCUAGUUGGUUGAGGUAAUGGCUCACCAAGGCGACGAUCAGUAGCUGGUCUGAGAGGAUGAUCAGCCACAUUGGGACUGAGACACGGCCCAAACUCCUACGGGAGGCAGCAGUGGGGAAUCUUGCGCAAUGGGCGAAAGCCUGACGCAGCCAUGCCGCGUGAAUGAUGAAGGUCUUAGGAUUGUAAAAUUCUUUCACCGGGGACGAUAAUGACGGUACCCGGAGAAGAAGCCCCGGCUAACUUCGUG
Molecule: ribosomal RNA, 434 nt
Filed under: uncultured bacterium
Lineage: Bacteria
Description: partial 16S ribosomal RNA
Rfam family: Bacterial small subunit ribosomal RNA
Source: RNAcentral